AGAGUUUGAUCAUGGCUCAGAUUGAACGCUGGCGGCAUGCCUAACACAUGCAAGUCGAACGGUAACAGGGGCUUCGGCCCGCUGACGAGUGGCGGACGGGUGAGUAAUACGUAGGAAUCUGCCCAUUAGUGGGGGACAACCCGGGGAAACCCGGGCUAAUACCGCAUACGCCCUACGGGGGAAAGCGGGGGAUCGUAAGACCUCGCGCUAAUGGAUGAGCCUACGUCGGAUUAGCUAGUUGGUAGGGUAAAGGCCUACCAAGGCGACGAUCCGUAGCUGUUCUGAGAGGAAGAUCAGCCACACUGGGACUGAGACACGGCCCAGACUCCUACGGGAGGCAGCAGUGGGGAAUCUUGGACAAUGGGGGAAACCCUGAUCCAGCAAUGCCGCGUGUGUGAAGAAGGCCUUCGGGUUGUAAAGCACUUUCGAUUGGGAAGAAAAGCUUGGCGCUAAUCAGCCAAGUCUUGACGUUACCAAGUGAAGAAGCACCGGCUAACUCUGUGCCAGCAGCCGCGGUAAUACAGAGGGUGCAAGCGUUAAUCGGAGUUACUGGGCGUAAAGGGCGCGUAGGCGGUUCGAUAAGUCGGGUGUGAAAGCCCCGGGCUUAACCUGGGAAUUGCAUUCGAUACUGUCGGGCUAGAGUAUGGUAGAGGAAAGCGGAAUUCCACAUGUAGCGGUGAAAUGCGUAGAUAUGUGGAGGAACAUCAGUGGCGAAGGCGGCUUUCUGGACUAAUACUGACGCUGAGGCGCGAAAGCGUGGGGAGCAAACAGGAUUAGAUACCCCAGUAGUCC
This 792-nucleotide ribosomal RNA is filed under the name uncultured bacterium. Its description in RNAcentral is "bacterial SSU rRNA". It matches the Rfam family "Bacterial small subunit ribosomal RNA", at positions 8 to 796 of the family's 1533-position model. The record is from RNAcentral.